RNAcentral lists this ribosomal RNA (270 nucleotides) under uncultured archaeon. RNAcentral's name for it is "partial 16S ribosomal RNA". It matches the Rfam family "Archaeal small subunit ribosomal RNA", at positions 477 to 747 of the family's 1478-position model. The record is from RNAcentral.
CAGCCCCUCGAGUGGUGGGGAUGAUUAUUUGGCCUAAAGCGUCCGUAGCCGGCCGGGUAAGUUUCCCGUUAAAUCCAGCGUCUCAAGCGUUGGACUGCGGGAAAUACUGCCUGGCUAGAGAGUGGGAGAGGUCAGCGGUAUUCUGGGGGUAGGGGCGAAAUCCUUUGAUCCCCGGAGGACCACCAGUGGCGAAGGCUGCUGACUAGAACACGUGUGACGGUCAGGGACGAAAGCUGGGGUAGCGAACCGGAUUAGAUACCCGAGUAGUCC